GAGUUUGAUCGUGGCUCAGAUUGAACGCUGGCGGCAUGCCUUACACAUGCAAGUCGAACGGUAACAGGUCUUCGGAUGCUGACGAGUGGCGAACGGGUGAGUAAUACAUCGGAACGUGCCCGAUCGUGGGGGAUAACGAAGCGAAAGCUUUGCUAAUACCGCAUACGAUCUACGGAUGAAAGCAGGGGACCGCAAGGCCUUGCGCGAACGGAGCGGCCGAUGGCAGAUUAGGUAGUUGGUGGGAUAAAAGCUUACCAAGCCGACGAUCUGUAGCUGGUCUGAGAGGACGACCAGCCACACUGGGACUGAGACACGGCCCAGACUCCUACGGGAGGCAGCAGUGGGGAAUUUUGGACAAUGGGCGAAAGCCUGAUCCAGCCAUGCCGCGUGCAGGAUGAAGGCCUUCGGUU
Molecule: ribosomal RNA, 410 nt
Filed under: uncultured microorganism
Description: bacterial SSU rRNA
Rfam family: Bacterial small subunit ribosomal RNA
Source: RNAcentral